RNAcentral lists this ribosomal RNA (505 nucleotides) under uncultured bacterium. Its description in RNAcentral is "partial 16S ribosomal RNA". It matches the Rfam family "Bacterial small subunit ribosomal RNA", at positions 28 to 507 of the family's 1533-position model. The record is from RNAcentral.
GACGAACGCUGGCGGCGUGCCUAAUACAUGCAAGUAGAACGCACAGUUUAUACCGUAGCUUGCUACACCAUAAACUGUGAGUUGCGAACGGGUGAGUAACGCGUAGGUAACCUGCCUGGUAGCGGGGGAUAACUAUUGGAAACGAUAGCUAAUACCGCAUAAUAUUGAUUAUUGCAUGAUAAUUGAUUGAAAGAUGCUAUUGCAUCACUACCAGAUGGACCUGCGUUGUAUUAGCUAGUAGGUGAGGUAACGGCUCACCUAGGCGACGAUACAUAGCCGACCUGAGAGGGUGAGAGGCCACACUGGGACUGAGACACGGCCCAGACUCCUACGGAAGGCAGCAGUAGGGAAGCUUCGGCAAUGGACGAAAGUCUGACCGAGAAACGCCGCGGGAGUGAAGGAGGUUUUCGGAUCGUAAAGAUCUGUUGUAAGAGAAGAACGGGUGUGAGAGUGGAAAGUUCACACUGUGACGGUAUCUUACCAGAAAGGGACGGCUAACUACGUG